RNAcentral lists this unclassified non-coding RNA (207 nucleotides) under soil metagenome. RNAcentral describes it as "partial contains 5.8S ribosomal RNA, internal transcribed spacer 2, and large subunit ribosomal RNA". The record is from RNAcentral.
AACCAUAGAAACCUGCGGAGUACCUGCGGAAGGAUCAUUACCGAGUUUACAACUCCCAAACCCCUGUGAACAUACCAAUUGUUGCCUCGGCGGAUCAGCCCGCUCCCGGUAAAACGGGACGGCCCGCCAGAGGACCCCUAAACUCUGUUUCUAUAUGUAACUUCUGAGUAAAACCAUAAAUAAAUCAAAACUUUCAACAAUGGAUCU